This 910-nucleotide ribosomal RNA is filed under the name Aspergillus nidulans. Its description in RNAcentral is "LSU rRNA". It matches the Rfam family "Eukaryotic large subunit ribosomal RNA", at positions 38 to 964 of the family's 3401-position model. The record is from RNAcentral. Lineage: Eukaryota; Fungi; Ascomycota; Eurotiomycetes; Eurotiales; Aspergillaceae.
GCAUAUCAAUAAGCGGAGGAAAAGAAACCAACCGGGAUUGCCUCAGUAACGGCGAGUGAAGCGGCAAGAGCUCAAAUUUGAAAGCUGGCCCCUUCGGGGUCCGCGUUGUAAUUUGCAGAGGAUGCUUCGGGUGCGGCCCCUGUCUAAGUGCCCUGGAACGGGCCGUCAGAGAGGGUGAGAAUCCCGUCUUGGGCAGGGUGCCCGUGCCCGUGUGAAGCUCCUUCGACGAGUCGAGUUGUUUGGGAAUGCAGCUCUAAAUGGGUGGUAAAUUUCAUCUAAAGCUAAAUACCGGCCGGAGACCGAUAGCGCACAAGUAGAGUGAUCGAAAGAUGAAAAGCACUUUGAAAAGAGAGUUAAACAGCACGUGAAAUUGUUGAAAGGGAAGCGCUUGCGACCAGACUCGGCCCCGGGGUUCAGCCAGCACUCGUGCUGGUGUACUUCCCCGGGGGCGGGCCAGCGUCGGUUUGGGCGGCCGGUCAAAGGCCCCAGGAAUGUAUCGCCCUCCGGGGUUGUCUUAUAGCCUGGGGUGCAAUGCGGCCAGCCCGGACCGAGGAACGCGCUUCGGCACGGACGCUGGCGUAAUGGUCGCAAACGACCCGUCUUGAAACACGGACCAAGGAGUCUAACAUCUACGCGAGUGUUCGGGUGUCAAACCCGUACGCGCAGUGAAAGCGAACGGAGGUGGGAGCCCCCCCGGGGCGCACCAUCGACCGAUCCUGAUGUCUUCGGAUGGAUUUGAGUAAGAGCGUAGCUGUGGGGACCCGAAAGAUGGUGAACUAUGCCUGAAUAGGGCGAAGCCAGAGGAAACUCUGGUGGAGGCUCGCAGCGGUUUCUGACGUGCAAAUCGAUCGUCAAAUUUGGGUAUAGGGGGCGAAAGACUAAUCGAACCAUCUGGUAGCUGGUUCUGCGA